CUGAGCCAGCCUCUGCCCCCAGCAGGCCUUUGGAGCAUCUCUAUCAAUUGUGGCCAUUUACUAGACACUGGCAGACAUUUUUGUAAACCUCGCAUCUGUUUUUUCACUAAUUCACGCGGUAAUUAGGUGUUCUCACGCCGGCUUUGUGGCUUUCCAUAAACGGUAAGUGGAACCGCCUGUGCGUUAGAAUUAGUGCUGUGUUCUGUGCGAGGCUUAUUACCACCGAGGCUCUCUCUCUGCUCGCUGGAACGGCAGCUAGAAAACUGGGAGGAGAGCUUCCUGGCAGCAUUAGCAAACUAGCAGCCCCUGAAGGGCGACGAGAAAGAUAUGUAGAUGUGAUGUCUGGAACUCAUGCAGCUAUCUUGCAACGACCAGGAUGAGGCUAAGAGAAUAGGAGAGAUCCUUGCUCAAACAGGCUGAACUCGAGUAUUUUGGGCCCUAAGAAGGAAGGACAAAGAUCCCUGGAGAACUCUCCUGUGGUGUCCUUGUUUUGAGUAGCAAUGGAGGGCAUGUCAUUGGUGGUACACUUUACAGUUAUCAAAUACUGAGGCUAGAUCAUGAAGGAACUAGAGGAUGAAUGGACAUUACCCCUGGAUGCUGGUCUUGAACACAGAUGCCGUAACCAUAAUCCUUCAGGUGAAGCUGUUUUCAUCUUGGCCCCAGGAGCUUGUCCUCAUUUUCUGAGGCGACAGAAGAGGAACUGAGAACCCAAAUUCUUUGUGCAAUGCAGGCUCUCUGGGUGUCAAAUACCCAUAAAACCAUUGCAUCCCGGCCUCAAGGUGGUGGUAUUUGCCUCCCACUCUCAAAGGAACAUCUGGAAGCCUGAAUGGAGAAGGAGGGCUGAUCAGCCAUCAGCUCAGCUGGGGCAGUGUUCCCUGACCUGUCAGCUCUUCCCCUUCAGACCUCAGAGGAUAGAGAGGGUCAGCUGGCAACCUCCACUGAGCCUGUGAACCAGUCCCAGGAGCUUCUCCAGCAGGUGUUUGUCCUUAGGCGGAGAUGUUUCCUGGAUGCCUCACUCCUUUGCCUCUCAAGGAUAAAUGCCCCGAUGACAGAAACCCCCAGCCCCUGCCCAGUGACAGGAAGUGCUGACUUCAACACUGGGUCCUGCCAUUUACCAGAGAGCCCUUGAAGAAAAAAUCAAGAGGAGAAAGGCCCAAAAGAAAGAAAACACGGUGGGCCAGAAAAAUUUCAUCAGGCAGAUUGCUUCAAGAUGAAGACCAACCAGAGAAAAUAUUCCCAGGAGUUAAAAUACGCAGCACGUUUUAGAUACCAAUGACGGCGAUUUGCUUUCUCUUCAUUUCUGUCUUCACAUUGCUGACAACUCCCCUCAUUGUCUUAAAUAUGGAUUGCCAAAGUCAAUUAAAUACGCAAGAGGAACAUUGUACAUUUUGGAGGAAAGUAAUUAUUGUUACACCUUAGAGCAGCUUAAUGAAUACAUUAAUAAACGAUCCUUCGCCAUGUUUUUCUUUUCAUAGCCAUCAAAAUCUUUAUAAAACCUACAGCACAAUACAUAACAUCUCGUUACAAGAUUUGCUUUUAAAAAAAUCAAUGCAUACCUAA
RNAcentral lists this long non-coding RNA (1560 nucleotides) under Homo sapiens (human). RNAcentral's name for it is "HSALNT0225627". The record is from RNAcentral. Lineage: Eukaryota; Metazoa; Chordata; Mammalia; Primates; Hominidae.